UGCACACACUCGCACACACGUGCUGGAGGUGGGGUAUCCUUUGAGUUCGGUGCGAGUAUUUCCAAUAAUUAAACAAUCCCCCAAUACGGAAUUGGAUACUCCCCCACUUGAAUCCAUUGAAUCGCACCGACCGAAUCCCAUUGAAUUGAAUCGAAAUGGAGAACUUGGCAGUUCGUUGGGGGAGCUUCCUGCGCGGGGCACGUUGCACUUUACCCGGAUUUCGCCGGCAGGGGUUUCUCGCUGCCCACUGACUAUCGGUGGCCACACUUUAUGUUUUUUUCUUUUUUUUCGUUAGCCACGUCGGUACAAAUCAAUUUAUGCCCGGCCAACGUUUGAACAAUUUCUGUUUCUGUUUCGGUUUCCGUUUCUGGUUCUCUUUGUGCAAUUGACGGGCCAAUAAUUAAGCCGGAGCCCAGGGAAAACGCUCGGAAAACGCAUGGAAAACUCAUGGAAAACUCAUGGAAAACUCACGGAAUGUACCACUGUCCCUGCAGACCGGCUGUCUGGCCCGGUUAUGUGGCCUGUUCUUAUGACUCUGCUGUCGUUGCAAAGUCAAUUUCCUUGCUUAUUUAAAUUUCAAAGCAAAUGACAGAAGGUGUUGUUGCGCUGCCACAAACUGGAUUAAAUUUCGUUUAAAAUGUAAAUGGAAAAAAGCGUGAUAGACAGGUUGGGCUUUUGCCGCCUGAAUCGUAUCCAAAUUGCGUUUACAACGGCGUAACAUCAAAAAAAAAGAAACGAAAAAAAUUGAAAAAGAAUCACCGAACGCUGGGAAAACUAAACAAACACCUCAUCAAAGUACAUCAAAGGACGCCCCCCAAAAAUAAAAAACAGUAAAAACCCCAAAAAUAACCAGGAGGGGAGGAAAAUCAAAAGCGAGGCGAAGGAAAAACGGUGAUUAACAAAACGAACAAUGGGGUGGGCCGUUCACCACCCACUCCGGCCAGGGAAAUUGCAUCAUCAACGUCCUUGCCGCAUUGUGAUCGACAUCAUCAUCAUCACCAUCAUCAGCUCCAUCGUCUGGAUGCAGGGAAGCCAACGUCACCACACUCUGUCAUUAAGGAAGUCAAAAACUUCGACCCCAAGCGGUGAACUGGGCAAAAUCGGGGGAUGCUACUCCCUUUCGCUCCGGAAAAGCUCGGAAAAUGGAGAAAGCGUUUCGAGUGCAGAACCUAAGUGGGUGAACUUUCUAUUUUCCUUCAUCUGUUAUCCACUCCAACCUGUUCAACACCCCCAGCCCCUUGAUACACUGAGCAAAAACCAAAAUUCUUUUGCUUAAAUAUUUUUAAAUUGCCGAAUUAUAGUAUUUGCUAGAUAAGAAAACGUGCGCUUU
Molecule: long non-coding RNA, 1330 nt
Organism: Drosophila simulans
Lineage: Eukaryota; Metazoa; Arthropoda; Insecta; Diptera; Drosophilidae
Exons: 3
Source: RefSeq, a predicted model, not a curated record